RNAcentral lists this transfer RNA (72 nucleotides) under Camelus bactrianus (Bactrian camel). It matches the Rfam family "tRNA". Rfam says of the family: Transfer RNA (tRNA) molecules are approximately 80 nucleotides in length. Lineage: Eukaryota; Metazoa; Chordata; Mammalia; Artiodactyla; Camelidae. RNAcentral also lists the same sequence under 2 other names. The record is from Rfam by way of RNAcentral.
UGGGGUGUAGCUCAGUGGUAGAGUGUAUGCUUAGCAUGCACGAGGUCCUGGGUUCGAUCCCCAGUAUCUUCA